RNAcentral lists this non-coding RNA (356 nucleotides) under Pan troglodytes (chimpanzee). Lineage: Eukaryota; Metazoa; Chordata; Mammalia; Primates; Hominidae. The record is from RNAcentral.
GCCUACCGAAGAUGGAGCUCCCUCGCAGGGGGUAGCCUCCGAAGGAGAAGACGUGGGAGUGGUCAGCGGUGACGAGGCUCAGCGUGUCCUCCUCGCUGGUGAGCUGGCCCGCCCUCUCAAUGGCGUCGUCGAACAUGAUCGUCUCAGUCAGUGCCCGCCCUUGGCCCUGGGGUCGCACGUCAAUGUCCAUGUUGGAGAUGAGCUGUGUGGCGAUGUCCUUGCAGCCCUCCCGGCGGGCCGAGCAAGGCAUGUUGGCGUCCGAGUACCAGUUGCGGUUCACCGUGUGGGCGUAGGUGCCGGCUGGCGAGGCGUGCUGCACCCGUGUGGUGGUUACCACUCCCACUGACUUCCCUAAG